UGUAACAAGGUCUCCGUUGGUGAACCAGCGGAGGGAUCAUUGCUGGAACGCGCCCUAGGCGCACCCAGAAACCCUUUGUGAACUUAUACCUUACUGUUGCCUCGGCGCAUGCUGGCCCCCUCGGGGCCCCCUGGAGACAGGGAGCAGGCACGCCGGCGGCCAAGUUAACUCUUGUUUUUACACUGAAACUCUGAGAAAAAACACAAAUGAAUCAAAACUUUCAACAACGGAUCUCUUGGUUCUGGCAUCGAUGAAGAACGCAGCGAAAUGCGAUAAGUAAUGUGAAUUGCAGAAUUCAGUGAAUCAUCGAAUCUUUGAACGCACAUUGCGCCCUCUGGUAUUCCGGAGGGCAUGCCUGUUCGAGCGUCAUUUCAACCCUCAAGCAUUGCUUGGUGUUGGGGCACUGCUUUUAACGAAGCAGGCCCUGAAAUCUAGUGGCGAGCUCGCCAGGACCCCGAGCGCAGUAGUUAAACCCUCGCUCUGGAAGGCCCUGGCGGUGCCCUGCCGUUAAACCCCCAACUUCUGAAAAUUUGACCUCGGAU
Molecule: ribosomal RNA, 542 nt
Filed under: Diaporthe phyllanthicola
Lineage: Eukaryota; Fungi; Ascomycota; Sordariomycetes; Diaporthales; Diaporthaceae
Description: eukaryotic LSU rRNA
Rfam family: 5.8S ribosomal RNA (bases 216-369)
Source: RNAcentral